This 406-nucleotide ribosomal RNA is filed under the name uncultured bacterium. RNAcentral's name for it is "bacterial SSU rRNA". It matches the Rfam family "Bacterial small subunit ribosomal RNA", at positions 28 to 452 of the family's 1533-position model. The record is from RNAcentral.
GAUGAAUGCUGGCGGCGUGCCUAAUACAUGCAAGUCGAGCGGUAAGGCCCUUCGGGGUACACGAGCGGCGGACGGCUGAGUAACGCGUGGGAACAUGCCCCAAAGUGAGGGAUAACGCACCGAAAGGUGUGCUAAUACCGCAUAUGGUCUUCGGAUUAAAGGAUUUAUCCGCUUUGGGAGUGGCCCGCGUACGAUUAGAUUGUUGGUGAGGUAACGGCUCACCAAGUCGACGAUCGUUAACUGGUCUGAGAGGAUGAUCAGUCAGACUGGAACUGAGACACGGUCCAGACUCCUACGGGAGGCAGCAGUAAGGAAUCUUCCACAAUGGGCGAAAGCCUGAUGGAGCAACGCCGCGUGCAGGAUGAAGGCCCGUCGGGUCGUAAACUGCUUUAUGAGUGAAGAAUAU